GACGAACGCUGGCGGCGUGCCUAAUACAUGCAAGUAGGACGCAGUUGCGAACGGGUGAGUAACGCGUAUGUAACUACCUAUUAGAGGGGGAUAACUAUUGGAAACGAUAGCUAAUACCGCAUACUAGUUGAUGGACCUGCGUUGUAUUAGCUAGUAGGUAGGGUAAUGGCCUACCAAGGCAACGAUACAUAGGCGACCUGGGGAGGUGAACGGCCACACUGGGACUGGAGAACGGGCCAGACUCCUGAGGGAGGGAGCAGGAGGGAAACUUCGGGAAUGGGGGGAACCCUGACCGAAGAACGCCGCGUGAGUUGAGAAGGUUUUCGGAUCGUAAAGCUCUGUUGUUAAGGAAGCGGUACUUAACCAGAAAGGGACGGCUAACUACGUGCCAGCAGCCGCGGUAAUAC
Molecule: ribosomal RNA, 407 nt
Filed under: uncultured bacterium
Lineage: Bacteria
Description: partial 16S ribosomal RNA
Rfam family: Bacterial small subunit ribosomal RNA
Source: RNAcentral